RNAcentral lists this transfer RNA (67 nucleotides) under Stylochus fafai. RNAcentral's name for it is "tRNA-Arg". The record is from RNAcentral. Lineage: Eukaryota; Metazoa; Platyhelminthes; Polycladida; Stylochidae.
CGUGAGAAAUUCAAAUAGAAGAUUGGUUUCGGCCCAAUAGUUGAGUGUCUUGAAUGCUCUCUCAUGU